Molecule: long non-coding RNA, 2012 nt
Organism: Drosophila pseudoobscura
Lineage: Eukaryota; Metazoa; Arthropoda; Insecta; Diptera; Drosophilidae
Exons: 3
Source: RefSeq, a predicted model, not a curated record
UGGGAAGCCAGACAAGUGCUGUAUCGUCGCUGAUUCGGGAAGGAGAAAGAGAUCAUUUUCGGUUUACACUUGCUGGGAUUCUUGGGUUUCGUCUAUUGAGAAAGUGUAAAGAGAACCUUGGGAAGAAAGCUAAGGAAACAGAAGGAUGGUUAAGGUAUACGCUAUAAUACUCAACUCAGCUCUUAACGGAAUAAAGAACAUUAAGAUAGUCUACAGUUAUCAACCAGACAAUUAUUUAUACCUCAUAUUACAAAAGUGUAAUGCAAUUUUCCCCCAGACGGCCAACAGCCAAGGUCGGAUCCGCAGCCUUGAUUCCGUAGAUAGAAAAACUGGAAUAUACCUACCUCUAUAGCGAUUUGGUUCACAGAUAACAACUGUCCAAUUGCUUUCACUUGAGACUACAAGUUUUAUACACUUAUUUGGUCAAAUAGUGACAGCCAAAGUCGGCCCAGAUAAGAUAAGAGCUGGAGAUGUUUUGCUGUCUGAGCUGUCUAAGCUGUCUGCUUUCAUACUAUAUAGACUAUAUAUUCUGAAAGUAUGUACAUAUGUAUAUGCAUGCUUCUAUGUUUUAAGGUCCUAAAAGGCUCAUCAUUUUGCAGCUCAUUGCCAGUUUCUAGCACUGAAACGCCUCAAAUGUCAACUUCUUAACCUUCCAUGACAACAAAAACACUCGUACUCUCGUGCUCGUACUCCGGUGUAUGUUUGGGAUGGGAUGGAUGUUGUUUUUGUGUCUGGUUCUUGUUGUCAUAACUCUCUUACAUAACUAAUUUGCAAACGGCGCUGACACGGACUCCCCAUAUAAAAAUGUCUCAUAUAGUUAGUCUAGCCCGUCCGUCCGCCCGUGGGACUGUUGUCGCUGUCGCGUACUCAAGAGAACAUGAGUACUGGGUAUUAUUUUAGCUGUUUGCUGAUUUGUUUUAACACCCGUUAAUUCUAGAGUUCAAGGGUAUAUUGUAUCUGUGCAACAUUAGGGAACUAGGAGCAGGAACCAUCCCUCUAUCUUCCUAGAGAUGCCAUCCCUGUACCAUCUUACAAUCCACAAUAAAACUAUCGCAAUCUGAUAAUGACAGCCGUAAUAAAUCGAUUAAACUAUGAAUGGAGAAUGGUAAUAAUAGUAUGUCCAUCUUUUAAGUCUCCUUAUUGGUUCCUUUAUAUCGGGUAUCUUGAAGUCUUAACGUUUAUCCCGUACUUCUUACUUGUUUUAUGAUUGUUCUGCCAUGGCAAAGGCGCUGGCGGCGACUACGGCAACGCUGAUGAUGACGAUGGCCGACGCUGGCUGCUCCGAUGUAUCUGCUGCUGCUGCUGUUUUUGUUGCAGUUUGCAGUUUGCAUUUACAUUACAUGAAAAUGACCUACAAAUAAAUUAAGCUCUCAACUUGUUAAUGUCCGUUUUUCAUACCCUCACAGUCUUGGGUAUAGUCGAGUAUUCAUUAAAGCAGAGGCAUUGCGACACACAGACAUUGAGAUAAUACUUUAUAAUAAGUAUAAAGUAUACUCCAGUAUCUUGGAGUUUUGAUUUCUCUAACACGCUCAUCCGAAAGUGCUGAUUGGUUCUAUGGAUAGCAUUGCCAUGCGCUCGAAUUCAAACAGGAGUCAAUUGGUGUGUGUUACGCAUCAGGAAAAGUGGAGCUACCUGGGAAUUAAGAAACCAACAGAACCAUUGAUGGGGGGCUUACUCAUCGGCACGGAUCCAAGUUCAAAUUUUCGUCCCUCUCUUUGUUUAUUCGCAGCUUACUCAGAUAUUUAAUUAUGUUUACUUGUUGCUCAACAAAGGGCCGCCCCGUCGAAUGCGUAACUCCAUCCUGGCCCAAAAGUCGCAGCACUUUCCCCCACCCGUGCCCUCUUCUUACCCCGCCUUCUGGCUGUGCUCGGACCAAGGCGAGUGUCAGGAAAAAGUCAGCGGAGCAAACAAUUUGCAUUAUUAAUUUAAUUGAAAAACUUGUUAAAUUAAAUAUUUAAAUUUCGAUGCAGCCAAAGUUGCCUGCAAUCGCUGCUGCCGUCGCUGCCGCUGUC